GACGAACGCUGGCGGCGUGCCUAAUACAUGCAAGUCGAACGCUUCUUUCCUCCCGAGUGCUUGCACUCAAUUGGAAAGAGGAGUGGCGGACGGGUGAGUAACACGUGGGUAACCUACCCAUCACAGGGGGAUAACACUUGGAAACAGGUGCUAAUACCGCAUAACAGUUUAUGCCGCAUGGCAUAAGAGUGAAAGGCGCUUUCGGGUGUCGCUGAUGGAUGGACCCGCGGUGCAUUAGCUAGUUGGUGAGGUAACGGCUCACCAAGGCCACGAUGCAUAGCCGACCUGAGAGGGUGAUCGGCCACACUGGGACUGAGACACGGCCCAGACUCCUACGGGAGGCAGCAGUAGGGAAUCUUCGGCAAUGGACGAAAGUCUGACCGAGCAACGCCGCGUGAGUGAAGAAGGUUUUCGGAUCGUAAAACUCUGUUGUUAGAGAAGAACAAGGACGUUAGUAACUGAACGUCCCCUGACGGUAUCUAACCAGAAAGCCACGGCUAACUACGU
RNAcentral lists this ribosomal RNA (507 nucleotides) under uncultured bacterium. Its description in RNAcentral is "partial 16S ribosomal RNA". It matches the Rfam family "Bacterial small subunit ribosomal RNA", at positions 28 to 506 of the family's 1533-position model. The record is from RNAcentral.